AUUAAUGUCGAUCCCAACAACACAGAAGCAGAGUUAGUUUCAGACUUAAUUGAUGUUUCAACAAGAAAAUGGAAGAGGACAUAGUACAAAAAAUUCUGCAAAAUUUUUUGGCGGAAUAAGCACAUGAUGACUUUCAAGUCUGGUGAGGAAAAUAUUCCGGUGAUUUUUCAGUCCGAAGUUCCUAUAAACUAUUACAAGAGGCUAGUAUAGAUCCUAGUUCUUAUUUAUUAUAGGCCGAAACAAAGAAUUUCUAUAGAAAGCUAUGGAAUUUACAUCUCCAUCAAAAAUUGCUAUUACUAUAUGUCGAAUCUCAUGGAAUUUUAUUCCUACUCUAUCGAAUCUCAAACUCAAGAGGAUGGUCGCAAACAACUCAUGUCAUUGCUGUCAUAAUGCGGAAGAAGAUGGUAUCCAUGUUUUCCUACAAUGCCCUACAAUUACAGAGACAUGGCAACUUCUUAAUCUUUCAUGGGUCAUUAAUACCAAUAUUCAAGAUAUGUGGGAAAGGCUGACCUUGAUCUUCACUAUCAGUAGCAGCAAACAAUGUCGCCUAUUUUGUUGUGCCAUUUGGAUAAUCUGGAAAUCAAGGAACUAGCUCGUCUAUGAGUAAAAAAUAACAAUAGGAAGGGAGCUAUCGAACCGAAUCCAAAGCUAUAUAGCAGAGAUUGACGGGUUGGAAGAAAAGGCACUUACCUUAGUUGUUGGUCGUGGACAGAGAUAGGGAGAAAGAAGUGAGAGAGUAGCUAUCUAUUUUGAUGUAGCCUUUGACGGUGAAUCUUCCAGAUCGGCCUUGGAAUGGUGGUGUGCGGGAUGACAGGUGAGCUCUUAGCUUCUAAGACGACCCUUCAUGCUGAAAUAUCGUCUCCAUUCAUGGCGGAGGCAUAUGCAAGUUUACAAGAAGUGAAGUUAGGGCUUUUCAUUGGGUUUCAAACAGUAGACAUUUUAGGAGAUUCAAAAUCGGUCAUAAAGAAAUUUAAAUCAGAAACGACAGACAAAUCCGUACUAAGGGUAAUUAUCCGAGACAUUCACAGCAAAAAGUGUAACGCCCCUAACCCGAAUCCGUCACCGGAAUAGAGUUACGGAGCAUUACCGGAGUUACCGAUUCAUUUAUCAGAUAUUUCAUUAAUCCGAUAUCUUUUCUUUUCCACGUUCAAGUCUCGUAUUCAAGUCAUCCGGAUCUUUAUAAAGAAAUUUGAUCGUCGUUUUCAUUUAUUUUAUGUUAUAAUACAUUCAACUAAUGCUCUAAAUAAAAUUAUCAUUUUACCUCUAAACUUUUAAUUAAUGACGAUUUCAUCCUUAGGUUAAAAUAAAAUAUAAGUAUUACAAUUUAAUCCUUAUUUCCAGCCGUUAUUCUCACACAAAUUGAUAACAACCUAUGAAUUCUAUAAAAUGUCAGAAUUUUCCAUAAUUUCAACACUUUUUAAUCCUUAAAACAUUUUUUCCCUGAUCUUGAGCUAAAUUAAAAAUUUCAUUCAAUUCUGUAAUUUAAAUAAUAAAAUAAUCCAUUUCAUGCAAAUUGGUCAUUUCUAACAUUUUUUUUACAAAAUUACCCAUAAAAUUUUACUUUUAUUCAAUUUAGUCCAUGAGCCUAAAACAUACAAAUUAGCCAUGCUAGCUGAAUAUUCAUACAUAUUUUUCUCCUCCCCCUCUCCAUUCCACAUCCUUAAUUUAUAUAACAUGCAACAAGUAACAUUAUCAAUAAUUUCACUAUUUACUUAUGUAUAUUCAAAACUGUCCAUUUGCAUCAUAGUCACUAAAUUAUUUAUAUCUUAAGCUACAGAACUCGAAAUUAAGAUCCGCUAAUUUUCCCUAAAACUAGACUUACUUAUCUUAUUACCAUAAAAUUUUCAGAAUUUUUGGUUUAGCCAAUAAGUACAGUUUAUUCUUUAAAGUUGCCCCUGUUCUGCUAUCUGAUAGUUCCGACCCUUCUUCACUAAGAAUUAAUUAUCUCAUCGUACGAGAUUCGGAUGAUGUUCCCGCUUAUUUAUAUUGAAAAUAGACUAUUUAAGGAUUUUAAACAUAUAAAUUUAAUCCCUUAAUUAUUUUUCUCCAAUUUUUGAUGAUUUUCUAAAGUCAGAACAGGGGAACCCGAAAUCAUUCUGACAUUGUCUCACAAAACUUAUUAUAUCUCAUGAUUUACAAUUCCAUUGCUUACACCGUUUCUUCUAUAAGAAACUAGACUCAAUAAGCUUUAAUUUUAUAUUUUAUUCAUCCUCUAAUUAAAUUUCUAAAAUUUUUGGAGAUUUUUCAAAGUUAGACUAUUGCUGCUGUCCAAAACUGUUUUAGUGCAAAAUGUUGAUUUUCAUUUUGCCCCAAAUUUCACAGUUCAUACAAUUCAGUCCUUACUUAAUUAACCCCUCAAUUAAACUAAUUUUAUCAAUUAAUACUUUUCCUAGACAUUAUAAGUUAUUUCAUAACUAUUGAAAUUUAGAAUUUCCACAUAAAACUCUAACUUCAAACUCUUUUACAAUUUAGGUCCCAAGCAUUCACUUUCUAUUCAAUUCUUUCAAUAAAAUCAGCAUAUAAACAAUUUAAAGCUCUAAUUCUAUAUCAAAUCAUCAUAUACUUUCAGCACAUAUUCAUAGAAACUUUCAAUUUCUUUCAUAGAAUCAAGAACUAAUGAAUUCAACAAAUGGACCUAGUUGUAAAAGUCACAAAAACACAAAAAUUUCAAGAAAUAAUCAAGAAUUGAACUUACUUGCAGUAAAAAUAUGAAAAACAAGCUUAAGGGAACUCUUCCAUGGUGUUUUUUCUGAUGAGAAUGCAGAAAAAUAAAGAGAAAUCUAGAUAAUUCCACUUUAGUCCUAGCUUUAUUAAGUAAAUUUUGCAAUUAUACAAUUUUGCCCUUAUUUUCUUGGUGAUUUCAUGCUCUUGCCGUCCAGCCCAAAUAGACCUUGGGUUUAUUUUCCUUUUAAACCCUCUUUUUUAUCAUUUAAUCUAUUUAAUCAUUUCCUACAAUUUUGCAUUUGAUACAAUUUAGUCCUUUUUGUUCAAUUAGCUAUCAGUACUUUAAAAUUUCUUGACGAAACUUUAAUACUAACUUAUUAACACUCCAUAAAUAUUUAUAAAAAUAUUUAUGGCUCGAUUUAAAAUUCUUGAGGUCUCGAUACCUCGUUUUCAAUUCUAAUUAUUUUAAUAUAUAUAUAUUUUUGUACAUUUCACUAUUUCAAAAUUUUUCCUAACUUCACAUUUAACUUAUACUCACUAAAUUAAUAAUAUUUCCUACUCAUUUUUCGAAUUUAGUGAUCUCGAAUCACUGUUUCAACACCUGUUACAAAAAGCCUCUUUUUCAAGAAAUCAACUUCCAGUUUGUUCAAAGAUCUAGAAAUGGCUUUGCUCAUAAUUGUAACAGCCAAAUUUUUCAGCGGUGUCAGAAACAGUGAUUCGAGAUCACUAAAUUCGACGAGUAAGUUUAGAAAUUUUAACAAAUAAUAAUUAUAGGCCAAGCGCGAACUUAAAAGAAUUAUUUUUAAUUAGUGAAUUUUGCGAUUUUAAAAGAAUUAAUCAGGUAAAUUGGGUUGAAAACAAGGUAUCGAGACCCCAGAUUUAUAAACCGAGCCAUAAAUAUUUGUAUAAAUAUUUAUGGAGUGUUAUUAAGUUAGUAGUAAAGUUUCGUUAGAAAAUUUUAACGUUUGGUUAGUCAAUUAAUUAAAAAGAACUAAAUUAAAAAUAGUACGAAAUUUAUUAAAUUGUGAUUAAAUAAUUUAAGUGAUUAAAAGGAGAGAUUUAAAAGGCAAUUGGACCCAAAUUGUAUGGGCUGGACGGUUGGACAAGAAAAUCAGCAAAAAAGACAAGGAGAAACAAGGGCAAAAUGGGAAAUUUCACAAAUUAAACAUAUAAAACAAGACAAAAUUAAAAAAUCUAGAGAUAUCAUCAUAUUUCUUCAGAAAAAAUGCCAUGGGAGGUCUGAAAGCUGUUGGUUUUUCAUACUUUGACAUAUGUGAGUUCAAUUCUUGCCCUUUUCUUUGAGAUUUUUAUGUUUUUGUGGCUUUUAGAAUUAGGUCCAAGUGUUUAAUUCAUUAGUUUUUGAUUAUAUGGACAAAAUUAAAAGCUAUCAUUGAUAAUUGUUGGCUGUUUAUGAUGAAAUAAAAUGAAUUUUAAGCUUUGAUUUUGUUAUUUGAUGAUUUUAUCAAGUAAAUUCAAUAGAAAUUAAUUUUAGGACCUAAUUGUAAAAAAGUUGUGAAUUAAGGUUUAGUGUUAAAAUUCUGAUUUUCAAAGGUUGUGUAAUAGUUUAGAAUGAUGGAAUAAAAUUUUAAUUGAGAAAAAUUAGCUUAAUAGAUGGGCUAAUUGAGCAAGGACUGAAUUGUAUGACCUGUGAAAUUUAGAGGAAAAAUGGUAAUAAACAUCUUGAACUAAAACAGCUUUGGACAUCAGCAGUAGGUUAACUUUGAAAAAUCACCAUAAAUUUUAAAAAUUGAAUUAGAGGAUGAAUAAUAUGUGAAAUUAAAGCUUAUUGAGUCUAGUUUAUCAUAGAAGAAACAGUGUAAGCAAUUGAAUUGUAAAUUAUGAGAUAUAAUGAAUUUUGUGAGACAAUAUCAGGAUGAAUUCGAGUUCUCAUGUUUUGACUUUGGAAAAUCACUAAAAAUUGGAGAAAAUUAUUUAGAGGCUAAAAUUUAUAUGUUUAGAAUCCUUAAUGAGUCUAUUUCAAUAGAAAUCAACAAGAACAUUAUCUGAGUUCUGUACUGUGAUAUAAUUAAUUUUUAGUGAAGAGAAGUUAAAAUUGUCAGAUAGUGAAAUAGGGGAAACUUAAAUGAAUAAACUGUACUAAUUGGCUAGACCAAAAAUUUUAAAAAUUUUAUGGUGGAAUUAUAUGUGAGUCUAGUUUCAGGAAAAAUUUACGGAUCUUAAUUUGGAGCUCUGUAGCUCAAAUUAUAAAUAAUUGAGUGACUAUGACUCGUGUGAACAGUUUGAUGUGAGCAUUAAUAAGUAAAUUGUGAAAUCGUACUUACAAGAAUGUUAUAUACAUUAAGGAUGUGGAAUGGAGGAGAGGAGGAGGAGGAAAAUAAAUAAUAUAUGUUUAUAAGAAAAUAGUAUGAGAACGAUACAUAUCAUGACAUGUAUAUAUAUGACUAGAUUCAAUAUGAUGCUUGUUGGGUAUGAAGUUGAAUUGAAAUGUCUAAGGCAAGUAUUUUAUUCUGCGCAUCUAAAAUGUGGUAUUUUAUAAAGAUAUGAUCUAGCUUUAAGUAUGAAUGCUUGAUGAUUAAGCGAAAAUUUUUAUGAAAAAUCAGUUGAGUUCCGACUUGAUUUUAAUGUUCAUGUUGGGCUUCGAGGGCCCAAAUAAAAGUUGUUAUAUAUAUAUAUGAUCUCAGAAAGUGAAUAGUAAUGUUUUGAUUAAUCUAUAAAUGUUUUGUAUGUAUUGGUAACUUGUAACACUCUGUAACCCUGUUUCGACGACGGAUACGGGUUAGGGGUGUUACAAUAAUCUGGCAAGAGAAGCAUUAAGGAAGCGAGAAGAAAAGUACCUGGAGGGAGCAGAUCUCGUUCAUCUCCAACGCGACCGAGAAGGGAGAAGGCCAAGGCAACCAGAUUGAAAAAUCUCCGAAGAAGAUAUGAAAAUAUAAGGGUAGCAGCAAUGAAAUACUUUCUUGGAACUUGGUAUCAGUUGGUAAGCUGGUAUAGAGAUUUGAAAAGACAAAAAGUUAAUAGGUACCAGCUAUCUUGAUAGUGACUGGAUUAGGUUUCCAAUUUUUUAUUUCGUUUAUUCUUUAUGUUCUUUGUUUCUCUUGGGCCUUUUAAGUUUUUUGGGCUGUUUCUUCUUUUAUUUGUUUUCUUUAUUCGGGACUUAGUCUCAGAGUUGUAAAGGAGUUUUUAAUUUUGUUUAUUUGUUUAGUUUUAAUAAAAUCCAGUCGCAUUUUU
Molecule: long non-coding RNA, 5853 nt
Filed under: Gossypium barbadense (sea-island cotton)
Lineage: Eukaryota; Viridiplantae; Streptophyta; Magnoliopsida; Malvales; Malvaceae
Description: long non-coding RNA (GBAR_LNC003737)
Source: RNAcentral